GAACGCUAGCGACAGGCCUAACACAUGCAAGUCGAGGGGCGAGCACAAGGAGCAAUCUGAGGUGGCGACCGGCGCACGGGUGAGUAACACGUAUGCAACCUGCCUGUAAGCGGGGAAUAACCCGUUGAAAGACGGACUAAUACCGCAUAAUACUAAAUUACUGCAUGGUAAUUUAUUUAAACAUUUAUGGCUUACAGAUGGGCAUGCGCAUGAUUAGCUAGUUGGAGAGGUAACGGCUCCCCAAGGCAACGAUCAUUAGGGGUUCUGAGAGGAAGGUCCCCCACACUGGUACUGAGACACGGACCAGACUCCUACGGGAGGCAGCAGUGAGGAAUAUUGGUCAAUGGACGAGAGUCUGAACCAGCCAAGUCGCGUGCAGGAAGAAUGUCCUUAAUGGAUUGUAAACUGCUUUUGCAGGGGAAUAAAGUGCAUCACGUGUGAUGUUUUGUAUGUACUCUGCGAAUAAGGAUCGGCUAACUCCGUGCCAGCAGCCGC
RNAcentral lists this ribosomal RNA (495 nucleotides) under uncultured bacterium. Its description in RNAcentral is "bacterial SSU rRNA". It matches the Rfam family "Bacterial small subunit ribosomal RNA", at positions 31 to 518 of the family's 1533-position model. The record is from RNAcentral.